UAUUGUGUGAAAUGCUUGUCAGAGGUAAAGCACCAGCGAGGCCCACCUUGUACACGAGUUUCCCUGGGAGAGAAGCCGGCUGGAGCAGUCCCAGCGAGAGCCAGCGUCCACCCUCCGCGGAGGCAGCGUGCUCGGAGCGAGGGCCAGCUGCAGCCUGAGCCACCUCAGCAGACAUAAUUAUAUCAUCACACCUUUCUGCAAAAUGGGCAUACGAGCGCUUCCCUAACUCACAGCAGUAGAAGGACGUUGCACGGAGGCUGGGGCGUUGGUGCAGAAGCGGCUCCUGAGAGCCCCGGGCCGCAGCAUGGCCCCGCAGUGGCCUGGCCACGGCAGCUGCUCAGUGGGGUGAGCUCCGAUACCUUCCUGGUGCUCCCGCGUCCUUCCCCGAGGAAAAGCCUCCCAGCGAGGGCAGCCCCUGGCACUCCUUGGAGGCCGGUUCGCGUUUGGGAAAGGCGGAGAAGACGCUGCGGUCUGGCCAUUGCCCCCUGACAGGACAAGACGGGACAUGGCGGCCCAACGGCCUCACCGCCGCCGCCUCCUCCCCGGCCCAACGGUUUGCAGGGCCCACGGCACCCCGGGGCCGGCCCCACGCAUGCAGUGCACGGAGAUCCUUUAUUAAUUGUUUGUGUGUUUAUUUAAUGAGGUGUGGAGCAGCCUCUAGUGGCGGACGGCGGGCAGGAGCUCCGCCACGGGAGGCCUCGCGCGGCUGCUGCCAGGCAGCGACGGCCCCGGCUCCCGACGCCCACCACCCUUCGCCUUCCCGCCCCGGCUCCUCACAGCCCCCAGGCGCCUGCGGCGGGACGGCCUGGCGAAGCGGGCUCGCCCCUGCCCUCGCCGAGCUGCGAGGCUUCCCCCACCCACAGUUACUGUACCUCCUGCCAAGUCCCUGACGGGCGAGUCCAUCCUGGAGGCGGUCUGGGAUGGGCGGCGGUGCCCCCGAGGGAGGGGAGCCAUUUUGUGGGCAGGUGGGCCCGCACGCCCUGGCCCGCCGCAGCGACAUGUCGUUUCCUCUUUUCUCCUUUCCCUUCAUCCCAGGCACAAAUUCACCGGUCCCGGAUACAGGCGGGGGGAACCUCCCCCAGGACGGGGGGCCCCGGCCAGGCUGGCACCGAGGUGGCUCCAUGGCAGCCUGCUCCUGCCGCUGCAGUGCCCCGAGCACUCGUGGGAUUUCAGGGGAUUCGUCCUCAAAAACACCACAAAUCCGGGCUUACAAGGUGCCGCUAAAAGAGGGCCUGAUAUGGGAGGCGAUAAAAGGCUGCACUGCAGCUCAGCAGAGGUGAACAGCAAGACAGCAAACUCUUGUCCAGGCUGGUUUGCAAAUACGGAUCUAGGCUCCCAUUUUAGUCUUCUAUAUGGUAAUGGGCAAUUUUCCUAAAAUAAAGAUAUAAGCAGUUUUA
Long non-coding RNA from Dromaius novaehollandiae (emu), 1397 nucleotides. RefSeq lists it as uncharacterized. The transcript is spliced from 2 exons. The record is from RefSeq and is a predicted model, not a curated record. NCBI's taxonomy places the organism in Eukaryota, Metazoa, Chordata, Aves, Casuariiformes, Dromaiidae.